Mus musculus (house mouse) is the source of this 2208-nucleotide long non-coding RNA. RefSeq annotates it as predicted gene, 53757. NCBI's taxonomy places the organism in Eukaryota, Metazoa, Chordata, Mammalia, Rodentia, Muridae. The record is from RefSeq and is a predicted model, not a curated record. The transcript has 2 exons.
CAAACGAUCACUGGGGGAAGUCAGGGCAGGAACUUAAGCGAGAACUGGAGAGAAUCCAUCAAGGAACACUACUUGCUGGCUCACUCUCAUCCUUGCUCUGAAGCUCCUGCUCAGAUGUCUGAGAUUCUUUGAUCUCAGUAAUGGAGAGCUGGUGGAGACGCCCUGAGUGCUGCAACAGUUCCAGGACUUCCUCAACCACAGCGGUCACUAGUUCCAUCUGAAACAGCCCAAGUGAAAGCUUGACAGGUGAACAUGGGCCCAGUCUUCCAGGGAUGUGAGUGCCCGAGUGACAUAUGGCAUCCCAGGUGGCCUCAGCUGGGAGAUACAGAAGGGGAUCCCUACCACACCCUCCUCUACAGAAACCACCUCUGAAGCUGAAGACUCAGACUCCUCCCCUCUCCACCCCUACGCCCCACUUCCCAGGAUACAACCUGUAACCACAAAGCCACAUAAAACAAAUCAGUCCAACUGAAAUGGCAGCAUGGGGCUGUGGGCACUAGACUGUGGCCAAAUGAACUACCCUGUUCCUAUCUCUUCGAAGCACUCCACUUUCAGGAGUCAACAGCUUCUCUAAGCAUAUUCCUUAGACCACUGUCCCCCAAUGACUCACUUGGAUGCCUCCUGAUGGUGCUGUUUGUGGAAGUCCCAGAGCCUUUCAGAGGUAGAGCCUUGCUGGAGGAAGCAUGCCACCAAGAUUGGACUGUGAAAGUUUACAGUCUCAUGCCAACUUUCAGAUUACCCCCUCUGCUUAGUGUUUAGGGGUAGAGGUGUGAUCUCUCAGCUCCCUGCCCCAGGUACCUGCUGCUACGCCUCCCUAUGGACUUUCCCAAGCCAACUCUUCCUUCUGUAAGUCACUCCUGGUCGUGGUGUCUUAUCACAGCGACAGUGAACACCUGGCGUGUGAUCUCCCACCAUCUUUCUAUUACCCACCCUGCCAGCAGGAAUUCUACGUGGAGAAAGCAAGUAUAAAGGGAAACUGUGCUUCCCAGGGUGGCUAACUGCGUAUGUGAUGGCUAUUCCUGGUUGUCAACUUGACUGCAUUUGGAAUGAACUACAAUCCAGAAAUGGAGGGCCCACCUGUGAUCCAGAUUUUGAAGCUGGAAAACACAGGCUUCUGACCCAGAUCUUGAUGUGGAGAUCUUGAGGCAUAGUAGCCAUGAAAAGCUUGGGCCCAGGCAAGGUACUACAUGCCUUUAAUUCCAGGAGACUGAGGCAAGCAGAUCUCUGAGUUCAAGGUCAGCCUGAGACAAAGCAAGUCCUAGAUCCAGGGGUGGUGGUACACACCUUUAAUCUGGCCACACCUUCUGCUGGAGACCUGCAUGAGAACAUUAGAAGGAAGUCUCUUCUUCACCUGCUUGCACUUACAUUUUGGAGCCCAUUUCUUCAGGACUCCAGUCUAUACAGAAGACCAGCUGAAACAACUAGCCUCAUGGGACUUCUCAUUCCCAGCUGCCCAUUGUUGGGUUAGUUGGACUACAGACUGUAAGUCAUUACAAUAAAUUCCCUGGAUAUACAGAGACGUUCCGUUAGUUCUGAGACUCUGGGGACCCUGACUAAUACGACCUAGGGUCACUUUCUCCUGCAUCAUUUGUGCCUGGCUCUCUCCAGGCAAGCUUCUGCUCUUGCCCCCCACCUGGUCUUCUCAAGGUCACAGUGUCUUCUGUUGUCGGGCAGUUCUCUCCUUGUUCAACCUUUGCUCCUCUUCCCUACAUGCUCAGGACCACUCUGCAGGUGACCUCUGCUCCUGGCUCUCAGAGCACCCUCACAGCUUCCCCCUGCCCCCUGCCUCUGCUGGCUUCUCUCCCAGAUCUUUUUACCCCAUUCCCACUUCCUGCAGGUCCCUGAGCUGGCUUCCUCGGCCACAAUUCGAUAGUCAUGCUAUGUGCUCAGUGAUUUCACUGUCUCUGGACUUUGAACAUAUUUAUGUGUCAAAAGGCAAGCUUUAAGACUCAAAUUUAGGCCUUGUCUAUGUUUGUACCUUUUCCUUGCUGGUGCUACCCCUCAGGAUGUAAAUCAAAUAGAACAAGUUGAAAAGCAAGCUUCUGAUUUCCCUUUUUCCAGACCUGAUUCUCUCCUUGUCCCCAUCCUAGGCCUUGAAGCCUCUUUUUCUGCCUUCUGUAUCUAGGCUAUAUUGAGCUGAUCUAAAUACUUUGUAAAGGUCAACAAGAUUGUCUAAGAACAUUAAACCAUUCCGAAGCCCAUGCUUUA